This 345-nucleotide ribosomal RNA is filed under the name Triticum aestivum (bread wheat). Its description in RNAcentral is "partial small subunit ribosomal RNA". The record is from RNAcentral. Lineage: Eukaryota; Viridiplantae; Streptophyta; Magnoliopsida; Poales; Poaceae.
AUGGCCGCAUGGGUUGAACUCCACAGGUUGUCCGGGCUUGCUAUGAGGUCUGUCGUGGAUCAUCUUCGGCCACAAGGACCAAGGCCGGACAGCUAUUUUGGAUUGGUGCAACAAUUCCUUGGUGCUGUGUCGCAUAUCGAUGUUGUGAAGAGGUCGGCGUGCAUAGAGGGUACGCGGAUGGCUCUUGGCCGUGUUAAAACAUACUGGGCUAGGAUGGAAACCACCGCUAUUGCAACCAGGAAUGCGGCAGAUGACCAGGACCCGGACGAGCACUAUUUCAAAGAAGUCUUAGAAGGCGCCCGUUUAAUAGACGCUCAGUGCUCAAAGAGUGCCAUGUUCGAAUAA